CAAAAAGUUAUUUUCAUUGCUAAAAAUCGAGUUACAUCACAAAAGAAACAAAUUAUCAGACUUUACACAAAAAAAUAGCCUUGACCUACAGUUGACUUCGGUCAACUAUUGACUUUUUGGUCAACCAACUGACCAAAGUCAACUUUCUAACUAUAACCCUAAUUACAACACUAUAUUCACUCCCAAGCUAUCCCUAGUCUUGUUCUUCAUGGUUCUUGGUCUUUGUACGAAAGCCACAUGCCUUGAUUAAGCCUUCAAUCCAACCUUGCCUAAGCCCAUGUAGAUCAUAACUAACAUGAAUGAUCCUUAAUAGACUCUUAAUAGAGCAUCUAAACUAACCAUAUUAACUUAACUCAAACUAACAGAUUAAUAGGGUCUUGACAUUAUUAUCAUUUCUAACAUCAAUAUCUAAUCCAUUUUGUUUGACACUCUAAUAGACUUUUGUACAUAGUUAACUCAUAACCAACAUAACUGAAUUUUUAAUAGAAGUUAUUAACAGAGUAAUCCUGCUAACAAACUUACUCAUGUGAUAUCUAACUUUGUUAAUCUUCCCUAACACCCCUGACCGAGCUACCCUAAUUGAUUACAAACUCAACACUAUAAAUCAAUCUCUCCACUCCAAUCAUUAGGGGAGAUUCAUCCCCUCACUGAAAAUCAUUAUACAAUCAAAAGCUCAGUGAGAAGACUCUCAAUCUCAUUGCACCCUCUGAGCUUCUCCAUUACUCUCCUCUUAUACACAUCACAACAACACGAUCGAUGUAGGGCAACAUGAACUCGCCUACAUACUAUACACAGAAGAAUGGGUAGAAGAAGAUCACAUCGUGGAGCUUGAGUUUUGAGUUCUUACCUUAUCCGAAGCAUUUCUGGUUUUCUUAUCAUCUUCGUCUUCAAAGUCUUGCAACCUUGACCAGAGCAAUUCACCGCUUCGAAGGUAGUGUGUGUGUCCACCUAUGCCUUAUCAAGCUCAUAUAUAGGGUUUGAGAUCCUCAAUGCAAGAGAUCAAUAAAGAAAAGGUUCACAAUGGUUAUAAAUAUCAUAUAUGGAUCCCCAUGUUCUUUAGUUGUCAUUUUGAUCAAGAAUUCAUCAAGAGUUUGAAGCUUGUUUGCCUUGAAACCCCUAUUUCAUCUAGGUAUCUUGUGUGACUUCCUCAGCAAGUUUCUUCGUUAAUUGGUCAAAUAUAUCAUGGGAUAACUCAUUAUACAUCAUCUUAAGCAUAUUUUAUCCUCCAUGAGCCCAAAAUAUCACAAGAAAUUCAAUUUUUCAAGUUGGCUCAAAGAAGUUGACCAGAGAAAGUCAACUGGUCAAAUCUAGAAUUCCUUAACCCUAUCUCCUAAAAUUUUUGUCAUAUGAAAAUUAUUCUAAGAUAAAAUCUACUCUUUAUGACAUUCCAAACAACUUUCAUGUUGGAAUCAAGAUCUAAGUUUGCUUGGAAAGUCAUUUUUUAUGGUGAAAGAUUAUAGGUCAUUUUGUCUGUGCCAUAGAUGGAGGGUCAACUUCCAAGAAUUAUAACUUGCUCAAUAUUUAUGAUAUGAAGGCCAUCCAAGUUUCAUGAUUAA
Long non-coding RNA from Lathyrus oleraceus (garden pea), 1556 nucleotides. RefSeq lists it as uncharacterized. The transcript is spliced from 2 exons. The record is from RefSeq and is a predicted model, not a curated record. Lineage: Eukaryota; Viridiplantae; Streptophyta; Magnoliopsida; Fabales; Fabaceae.